GCUGGCACAGUGCUCUAUUUUGAAUUUGGUACGCUAAUAAUGUUGAUAACACUGAUGUUUUGGUUGUUGCUAAAUUGUGUUUGUCCUACAUCAAGGACAUUUCAGUGUCCCAUGCUCUGCCAGUGAGGAGAUCCAGAAGAAGCUGUGAGGGAGCGUGGCCAGGACAGCUAACCCUGACUGCCCAAAGGGAUUUUCCGUACCACAGAAUGACGUGCACAGUGUAUGAACUAAUGGGAGUUGGCUGGGAGGGGCCCAUCGCUGCUAAGGGGAGGACUGGGGAUUGAUCGAUCGACAGGUGGUGAGUGAUUGCAUUAUGCAUCACUUGUGUUUCUUGGGUUUUACUCCUCUCCUUUUCCUAUUUUUAUUUUACUUUACUGUAUUUCAAUCAUUAAACUGUUCUUAACUGAUGGUUUUAUCUUUGUUCUGAUACUCCUCUCCAUGCCAUUGGAGUGGGGUGUCUGCAUGGUACUUAGUUGUGUGCUGAUAGUAUCUGAAACCAUGAUAGUAUCUGAAGAUUCUGUUCUUGUAGGUUUCGACAUCUGACUAAUUUCAAUAUGAGCUGAGCUUUUGUUUUUCUAACUGCAUCUCUGCACACCCUGCAAUGCCCAAUUACUUGGGCAUAAUCCUGAAGCCCAAAAGAAGGUUCAAAGAGAACUGGAUGAGAUGUUUGAAGGAUAUCAAGUAUGGAAUGGCACAAAUAUUCAGAUCAUAAUUUAUGCCGUACGCAGAAACCCCAAGAUCUUCUGUGACGUGGAGGAGUUCAGGUCUGAGCGAUUCAUUCCCCACAAAUUAAUCCAGGCUGCGUUCUAGGGACCAGCAGAAUCCUGUGUUGUCGUUUGUGCCUCUGGGCUUACACACCUGCCUUACAGGAUGCAUGCCUUCUGUCAAUAUGGUCAGAAGGGCUUCCACUUAGGUAAGAGGCUGAAUAAAAGCAGGUUUGCACUUUCA
This 948-nucleotide long non-coding RNA is filed under the name Manacus vitellinus (golden-collared manakin). Its description in RNAcentral is "lncRNA (ENSMVIG00005012373.1)". Lineage: Eukaryota; Metazoa; Chordata; Aves; Passeriformes; Pipridae. The record is from RNAcentral.